AGGGGCAUAGCUCAAUUGGCAGAGUGGCGGUCUCCAAAACCGCAGGUUGCCGGUUCGAGUCCGGCUGCCCCUGCCA
RNAcentral lists this transfer RNA (76 nucleotides) under candidate division WS1 bacterium. RNAcentral describes it as "tRNA-Trp". It matches the Rfam family "tRNA". From Rfam's summary of the family: Transfer RNA (tRNA) molecules are approximately 80 nucleotides in length. Their secondary structure includes four short double-helical elements and three loops (D, anti-codon, and T loops). Lineage: Bacteria; Bacillati. The record is from RNAcentral.